GACGAACGCUGGCGGCGUGCUUAACACAUGCAAGUCGAACGGAAAGGCCCUGCUUUUGUGGGGUGCUCGAGUGGCGAACGGGUGAGUAACACGUGAGUAACCUGCCCUUGACUUUGGGAUAACUUCAGGAAACUGGGGCUAAUACCGGAUAGGAGCUCCUGCUGCAUGGUGGGGGUUGGAAAGUUUCGGCGGUUGGGGAUGGACUCGCGGCCUAUCAGCUUGUUGGGUGGGUAGUGGCUUACCAAGGCUUUGACGGGUAGCCGGCCUGAGAGGGUGACCGGCCCCAUUGGGACUGAGCUGCGGCCCAGACUCCUACGCGAGGCAGCAGUGCGGAAUAUUGCACAAUGGGCGGAAGCCUGAUGCAGCAACGCCGCGUGCGGGAUGACGGCCUUCGGGUUGUAAACCGCUUUCGCCUGUGACGAAGCGUGAGUGACGGUAAUGGGUAAAGAAGCACCGGCUAACUACGUG
RNAcentral lists this ribosomal RNA (468 nucleotides) under uncultured bacterium. RNAcentral describes it as "partial 16S ribosomal RNA". It matches the Rfam family "Bacterial small subunit ribosomal RNA", at positions 28 to 507 of the family's 1533-position model. The record is from RNAcentral.